Long non-coding RNA from Marmota monax (woodchuck), 1660 nucleotides. RefSeq lists it as uncharacterized. Lineage: Eukaryota; Metazoa; Chordata; Mammalia; Rodentia; Sciuridae. The record is from RefSeq and is a predicted model, not a curated record. The transcript is spliced from 2 exons.
UUUUUUGACUGUGGAGUUUUUAAACAUUGCAAUGGAGAUUUCACCCAGGUAAAGCUACAAGGCCUUUACUAUUUUCUUAUGUGUUGUACGUUUGUGUACACUCUUGUGUUUUGUGUUGUAUGUCUGUAUGUGCGUAUGUCCAUAUUUCUUAUAUGAGGAGCGCUCAUGAAAAAAUGGAUCCGAAUUAUUAUUAUUUUUUUAUUCACGUGAUUUAAAUGGUUUAAUUUAAAUUAGGUAAACAGCUGUUAAGGAUUGUUUUUAAAGUAGGUUAACAGAUCUGUUUGUUUACUUUCACCUUUCCUUUUCAUUAUAUUUAAUAAUUCUUUUCAGGAUAAUGUCUUUUUAGCAUCAUUGCCAGAAUUCCUAUCUUCAUCCCAGUGCCGGUGAAGACAAAGAUACAACCAGACUACAGCUUCUAUGAUAGCUAUCACAGUAAACUGUAUAAACUGAUGCAUCAAUGAAUAUAACUCAACAAGUAAUGCUCAAUCAAGGAGUUAACUUACUUUGGGAGGAAACGGAUUUUGGGAGGAAAUGGACAUAUUGAUAGAUUCCUCUGCUUUGAACUGCUUGCAGAACUUGCCUGGACUAUGUAACUAUCGUUUGGUGCAGCGAAUUGUGGUAAUGCUGGCAUAUCUUUGCUGAUGGUGUCACCAGUGAUGCAAUUUUUAUUUCCUUGCCAGCGCACCCCAUGUUAAUUGUGGUAGUGCUGGCAUAUCUUUGCUGAUGGUGUCACCAGUGAUGCAAUUUUUCCCAAGGAGCCGUCAAUUGGCUUGGUGUUGUGGCAUUUCUGUAUCCUCCUCCCUUCUGCUAGUGAUGGUCUAAAAUUUGGGGGCCAAUGGCUAUAUGCUGGACCGGUAGUCAGUGACGGGUAUGAUCCAAUUGCAGUGGUAUCAACCUAAGACAGGAGGCUGACACCUAAAGGUCAGUUUUCCGAUGACGGGUAAGAACCAUAUGUUGAAUUGGACAACCUACCAGGCACGGUCCUUAAGCCACAUUAACCUCACUCCCCCACUGGCACCAAGGCCAAAUUUGGGGGCCAACAGAGGUGAGGCAAAGAACCUCACCCCCCCACUGGUGCAUAGACCUAUCCACAAGUAUGGCUGUAUGCUGGACCGGUAGUCAGUGACGGGUAUGAUUCAAUUGCAGUGGUAUCAACCUAAGACAGGAGGCUGACGCCUAAAGGUCAGUUUUCUGAUGACGGGUAAGAACCAUAUGUUGAAUUGGACAACCUACCAGGCACGGUCCUUAAGCCACAUUGCUUGUUGUUUAAUUAAUCAGAAGGGGGGAGAUGCUGGGAGCCAUUAGCCAAGUGGGUAUGACAAUUUCCUUGCCAGCGUACCCCAUGUUGCAGUGACAUUGAAUGUAGGUGACCUUGCUCAAGGACCAAGGCGGAUUAGGGUAUUCCCGGUUUAAGAUAAUCGGGUUUAGGGCGUUCCCGGUUUAGGUUCCAGGUUUAAGGUUUAAGAUUAUUCCUGCUGGGAAUAGGGCGUAUCCUGCUGCCUGAGUUCCCCUUGAGUUCUCAUGGGAUUCAGACAGUAUUUUUUGGGAGACAGAAGCCCAGUGGACGUGGAUUUGGGCAGAGAACGUGGAUUUCCCCAGAACGUGAUUGUAGAUGGCUGGUGUGAGUUCGGGAAUAAAGAGUUGCUGUUUGAAUCUACAA